Molecule: ribosomal RNA, 253 nt
Filed under: uncultured bacterium
Lineage: Bacteria
Description: partial 16S ribosomal RNA
Rfam family: Archaeal small subunit ribosomal RNA
Source: RNAcentral
UACCCGCAGCACAAGUGGUGGUCAUUACUAUUGGGCCUAAAGCGUCCGUAGCUGGCCUGUUAGAUGCCUGGGUAAAUCGAUGCGCUCAACGUAUCGAACUCCGGGUAGACCGGCAGGCUUGGGACCGGGAGAGGCGUGAGCUACUCGGGGGGUAGGGGUAAAAUCCUGUAAUCCUCCGGGGAGGACCAGUGGCGAAGGCGUCACGCUAGAACGGCUCCGACAGUGAGGGACGAAGCCCUGGGGCGCAAACCGG